CACAUGACUCUCGGCAACGGAUAUCUCGGCUCUCGCAUCGAUGAAGAACGUAGCGAAAUGCGAUACCUGGUGUGAAUUGCAGAAUCCCGCGAACCAUCGAGUCUUUGAACGCAAGUUGCGCCCGAGGCCACUCGGCUGAGGGCACGCCUGCCUGGGCGUCACGC
This 164-nucleotide ribosomal RNA is filed under the name Sinochasea trigyna. RNAcentral describes it as "5.8S ribosomal RNA". It matches the Rfam family "5.8S ribosomal RNA". Rfam says of the family: 5.8S ribosomal RNA (5.8S rRNA) is a component of the large subunit of the eukaryotic ribosome. Lineage: Eukaryota; Viridiplantae; Streptophyta; Magnoliopsida; Poales; Poaceae. The record is from RNAcentral.